GGUUGCAUUACAGGGCAAAAUCUCCUCUGGCAGCCAGCCAUUGCCACUUCACCUAUGAAUUCUAGUGUGCUCUCUGCCAAUGGAGAUUUGCCCCGCAAUUCCACU
Gossypium hirsutum (cotton) is the source of this 105-nucleotide non-coding RNA. NCBI's taxonomy places the organism in Eukaryota, Viridiplantae, Streptophyta, Magnoliopsida, Malvales, Malvaceae. The record is from Rfam.